RNAcentral lists this long non-coding RNA (1217 nucleotides) under Sparus aurata (gilthead seabream). Its description in RNAcentral is "lncRNA (ENSSAUG00010000188.1)". The record is from RNAcentral. Lineage: Eukaryota; Metazoa; Chordata; Actinopteri; Spariformes; Sparidae.
GGCCAAUGUUAUGUAAAAAAGAUUAUUUAUUCUUUUCUCUCUCUCUCUCUCUCCUGGGAACAAGUUAAAGAUAAAACGCCAGUUGUUAAGAAGUUAAAAUUUGCAUGAAAUAUUUUGAGAUAACCAAGAUAUUAAAAUGUAAAAAAAAAAAAAAGUAUUUCUAUAAUUUCAUGGGUUCUGAAUGUUUUAAAAGCAGUUGAAAAGUAAUUCUUAUUGCGUGUGAGAGUUCAUGACCUGUAAGAGUUUUUACACUUCCGGGUUGACCGGAGCGUGAGUGACGAGGAAGAAGGAGCGGAGAGUUAAUGGCGUCAGGCAGCUAACAGUGGACUGGUGUGUGUCGUCAGUGUCGUGUUUAACAGAGACUGUGAACUGUUGUCGGACGACGUGCUGUGAGUGUGUGAUUUGGACUCUCCAUCGCAGUCGAAGUGUUUGUUUUUUAAUGGACACGAAGCAAGUUCGGCUAAGCUAGCGAGGAGGAGCUAAGCUAGCUAGCAGGAGCUAGGCUAGCCACAUGUAUCCCUGACUGCAGACCCGCAGACCUCAAUGUGGGCGGGGUUAAACGUUGAACCCCGCCCACUCUUCAAAAUUUGACUCCGCCGUCACUGUGAUGCUUCCUGUUCGGUCUUAUGUAUUCCUCCUGUCUCCUUCCACGCUGGCUUCUCGAACCACAAGGUCCAAAAGACUGAAACCAUCCAGCGCCCAGUGAAGGAAAAGAAUGAAAGAAGAGGAAGACGUGAAGAAGAUACAGAUGCUUUUUGAAAUAUUUCACCACCAGCCCAUUGACACAGCAUCAGGUGCUCCUGUCCCUUUACCUCAGCACAGCAGAGUGACACAGCAUCAGGACUAAAGGCUGCACCAUGCUGACUGACCAUCUCUGCUAACUGACAAAUCUUUUGGGACAGGAGGAAUACAUAAGACCGAACAGGAAGCAUCACAGUGACGGCGGAGUCAAAUGUUGGAUAGUGGGCGGGGUUAAACGUUUAACUCCGCCCACAUUGAGGUCUGCGGGUCUGCAGUCAGGGGCUUCUCAGGCUAGCGGCCCGGCCAUUGUCGAGAGGACGUCUGCGCGGACGGGAGAAGCUUUGCCGGGUCGCCACGAAGAAUGUCGCCGACGGACGGAGCUUCGCUGCCGCAGAGGGACACGGAGGUUUAUCGCUGCGAGCAUUUGUUUUCACAGACUAACCUCGCCUCAUAACAAGGCCGCGACCUCCUGUUAG